AUGCUGAAGUCCAGUCUGAGUUGGCAAGACGGGAAAACUUUACCUAAAGAUCCAAUGCCUCAUGCUGUCAUGAAUUCCUGCUACCAGCAGGUGCCGGUGGAUGAGGCUGGUCAGAAACGUGCGGAGCUUUCCUGUAUUCGAGGAAGAUGGGCUGAGCAGAUUACAAACUCACCUGAGGACUCAGGCACUGCUGCCUUCCUGCUGCUCUCCUCUGCCAGCCAGCCCUGUCUGUCCAACGAGCCAUGAAGGAGGUAUCAUCUUUCAUGUGCUGAGGAAGCUGCUCCAGCAUUUUGGUAGAUCACUCACCAAUAUGCAUCUUUGUGUUGUCCAACAAUAACACACAAAAAACCCAUGCGGCCACAAGCUGUCUAAAAUUAAUGAAGUAUAGAUUCUUCCCCCAUCAUAAUAUGUAAUGGAAUUAUGAAAUUGCUUUUACUCAUUUAUUUAAUGACAGUAAAGUUUAUAAAUCAAAGCCUAAUCCAAUGUGUUGUCUAUUUGUUUCCUUUGUGAACUUUCAUGAAUCUUGCAGUCACUCCUGCAGCUGGGAAGACAUAUUAGCAUGGAAUGUAGCCCCUUCUUGGCAUUUUCAGUCAGAGUUAGUUUAACCUUAGAAAUUUAGAGCUGAUGCAGAAUCUAGGGGAAAUAUAAUGAGGAUUACAUUAGAAGCAGAGAUGUGCUUUCCCAGGCCUCUCUAAUCAUGUCAGCUUGAAAUAGCGUGGUAGGCAAUAAGUAGCAGUGGUUUAAUGUGGCUGCUUUCCCUUCUCAUGUUGCUUUCUGAAAGGAGACACAGCCCUACCCUUGGAUAACUUCUGGCUCCAGCGCAUUCAAUCACCGAACAAGACUCCUGCCUGGGGCGUCUACUGCUUCCUCUGCCCUUUUCUGCUACUGCAUCAGCAUAGAGAGCUUUGCAUAAUGUUUUUCUUUUGAUGGGAUGUACGAUGUUAGGACAGAGUUGUGUUUGUGGAGGGAUUUUAGCUAAUGAGUCUUUACAACACAUCUGUCUCUCCUGUUCAGAGAGAAAGCCUUGACUUGCACUAGGAUGAAUUGACUGCUGAGGUAAGUGGCCAUAAGAGGGUGAAAGUGGACAUGACCAAGUGUCCCUCUCCCUUGGACAGUCACAGCAGGCCCCCCCCUAGAUUUUAGCAUCUAGCCCUAGAAAAGCCACUGCAUUGUGGAUUUAUGCCAGAUGUGAAUAUCAUGUUGCUCAGUCUUCCCACCAUUUCUGUGUUUUGUUUUUCCUGUUUUU
RNAcentral lists this long non-coding RNA (1246 nucleotides) under Struthio camelus australis. RNAcentral's name for it is "lncRNA (ENSSCUG00000011979.1)". Lineage: Eukaryota; Metazoa; Chordata; Aves; Struthioniformes; Struthionidae. The record is from RNAcentral.